AAAAUUUCAGUGGAACCUUUGUGUUUAUUAGUAUCUUGAAUGUCUUUAUGAUUAGAAAAAUUUCCUUGUAUUUUCCAAAGUUUGAUAGAACCGGUAUCACUACCAGAAAAAAAAACAUCUGAUCGGCGUAUACAUCCCUAAACUCAGAAAAGCAAUAUAUUUUAAUGCCAUCAAACAACAAGUUUACAAGCGACGUAAUCCAAGAACCAGUACCAUGACUAUUAUGGACAACACUUAAGGGUUUACGGCUUCCAACAGACCAUAACAUUAUCGUUCUAAACAUUCCUUUAUAUUAAAAAAUAAAUUUCGUCAAUCCUUACCCAUUCUGAUGACCUGAAAGGGUACGAUGACUAUUUAAUUGAACAACGGAAUCAACAGUUUCCAUUUCUGUAUUAAAUAACAAAUGAGAAUCUGUUGCUACUUUCCAUACACGAACAGUAGCAUCCAUUCCCCCUUCGAAACAAAUCAAAAAAACACCAACACAAUAUUAUACACUGAUACAUAAAAGUGUAUCUAAUGAGACCUGUUACUGGUCGUCCUUUAUCUAAAAUAUCAAUACAACAAGGUAGAGCAGUGUGGCCAAAAAACGUUUCUUCACAAGAAGACAAUUCAAGAUUCCACAUUUUCAAUGAUUUGUCUGGCAAAUUUGAGUGAAAAAUUUAGAGAACAAAAGAAUUUAAACGUUUUUUUCAACCUUCUCCUAUAGUAUAAAAACGGCGAGCAUCAGAAGUAUUGGGAUCAAAACAAACACCCUAAAGCCCCCCCCCAAAAAAGCUUUUCCAUGCCCAUAAAGUGUUGAAACACAUAAUGGAACUCUAGCAUCCCAAACACGAACAACAUGAUCAGCGCCAACAGAUAAAAUGGUUUGCGCGUCACAUCCAACAGCAAGAUCUAAAACUUUUUCAAAAUGGCCACCGCAUGAAAAAUGAUGCCGCCUUCCCAAAAAGCGAAUUUUCUUUUUCGUUUCGACGUCCCAAUGUAUAAGGGAACAAUCUUUAGAACCCAAACUCACUGAAAGUGAUAGAUACCUACAGAACUAAUUUUUUUUAAACCCCAAAACGAAAUAUUUACUUUAUCACUUAGGUAACGUUGGGUCUGAUGUUGUGAAUUUUUUUGAAAGUGUUCUGUAACAGUUUCAGUAUGAGAAUGUUUCUCCAUUAUGGAUACUUACAUGACUAAAAGGAAGGACAAUAGAAUAUUUUGGGACACUGUUCACUAGUAUCACAUUUCCGUCAUUGACUGUGACAUUUCUCAACAGGCGUACUCAUUCUAAAAAAAGUUCUCAUUCUUGUUUACGAAUUCGCGAAUUAGCAGUAAAAUAAAAAAACUUAUCAUCACUAUAAAAAACCGUAAAUUUUUUUAUCAACAUCUUUCCCACUGCUAGCAUUGACUUCAAGCAAUUUAUGAUUCUUUUAUAAAAUUUUCCUUCAUAUGAUUUAAAAUCUGUUGACAAUCUACAAAAAGAUUGGUUUUUUAAGUGACUUGUCAAUGAUAUUUUUAGCUAUGCUAAAAACUAAUUUAUGUAUUCGGAAAGAUUUCGUUUUAAACACGCAUGUCGUACUUCUUACCUAUUAAGAAAGAUUCAAAAAUUAUUGAGAGACUAAGUUCCUCAAGCUCCCUAACCCUAACAAUAUUACGCCUUGUUUUGAUCAAUGGUCGAACUGAAAAUUUAAGACAUCCUUUAAGAAACGUAAAGUAAUUUCAUUUAAAGAUAUUUUUUCUUUGAUUUUACAUUAAAUACAUGUCGUGUUUUAAUUUUUCUCCUUUUUCUUUUUAAAUAAAGAGUGGUUUUGGUACAGUGUUAAGAAGCGUUAUAAGUGUCUACUUGCAGACUUUUUAUAAAAUAGAUUUUCAGCUAAGGAUGUUAGAAUUCGUUAUACAUGAUUCCUUUAUAAGCUAAAAUAAAGAAUAUUUCUUUUUAAUUAAAGCGUUGAUUUGAUUACACACUUUUCGCAUUGUAGGUUCGAAUGAGAGUCUCUUUUGAAGUGUUUUCGCUAUAACAAAACAUCUAGAAUUUGUAGAGAUUAAUGAGAAGAAAGGUGUCCGUGCAUUUGGACAUCAGUGUCACCAAUUUAAAUAAACAUUAAAGUUGUUUUAGUGGCAAAACAAAUACACUUUCUUUUUGUUUGAAAUAGAGAGUUAUUCACAUUAAUAGCAAAAAAACAGACAGUGCUUGUUAAAAGAAAGCUUUUUUGUUUACCCCGAAUAAUGAAAGACAAUAGUUUGCGCUUUUAAAGAAAAAGGUGGGCUUUAAGC
This is a long non-coding RNA of Hylaeus volcanicus, 2256 nucleotides long. RefSeq lists it as uncharacterized. The transcript is spliced from 5 exons. NCBI's taxonomy places the organism in Eukaryota, Metazoa, Arthropoda, Insecta, Hymenoptera, Colletidae. The record is from RefSeq and is a predicted model, not a curated record.